CUCAAGCGGUCUUCCCCUUCAGCCUUCCAACUAACUGGGACCACAGGUUUCUACUUACUGAAUAGUUCCUUCGUGAAGUUUCAGGAUUGCAAAAUGCAGAAGCUUCGUCACGUUAAAUACACCUGGGAGGAGCCACGCCUCAUUUUUAAAGCUUUCCAGGGCAAUGAAUGAAGUCAGACCACUGACAACAGCCACCUUGUGGAAAGAGAGGUGUGGUGGCUGCCAUCUCCAUGCACAUGGCAGCCUGGCUGGAGAUGAAGUAUGCGAAGAAGGCGCUGCAGACCUGAAUUUAUUGGCACAACCCUGGGACCAGCUGGGGACCAUGUAGAGCCUCG
RNAcentral lists this long non-coding RNA (335 nucleotides) under Homo sapiens (human). RNAcentral's name for it is "non-protein coding lnc-PRKCQ-1:1". The record is from RNAcentral. Lineage: Eukaryota; Metazoa; Chordata; Mammalia; Primates; Hominidae.